Molecule: long non-coding RNA, 501 nt
Organism: Girardinichthys multiradiatus
Lineage: Eukaryota; Metazoa; Chordata; Actinopteri; Cyprinodontiformes; Goodeidae
Exons: 2
Source: RefSeq, a predicted model, not a curated record
UUUCUAUAUUGUUUUUUUCAGCAGGUUCAGUUGGAGGGUGGAGCUGUGUGCUGCCUCUCACACCUGUGAGCCAUUAGGCUCAUUAUGGCAGCCUUUUAAGGAGAGGGUUGCUGAGUGUCGUCCUUUGUGGUACCUCAAGCCCAGUAUCCUGUUUCUGACUUGUAAAUCUUCUGAGAUAUUCUUGUAGUCUAAGCUCUGUUCUUUCUUUAAGGUGCCUCCCUGGAUCCUUCUGGUGGUUCCAGUGUAACCUGAUCUCGUUCACCUCCUGAGUUUCCCUGUUCGGAUUACAGGCUUGCCGCCACCGGGUUCUAGACGCUCAGUCACCUAAACCUGUCCGCCCUCCAACGAACUGCUUACCUCUGGAAAACACAGACCUUCUAUCCAAGAACUGACCUCCCCUCCCGGACUCCUAUUUCCGCCUGCAACAUGGAUGUACCGCCGGAGCCGCCCAGAAUUCCUCAAUCAUGUUAUAUCCCUUCUAAAUAAAUAUCUUAAACUUCA